UCAUGGAUGUCAUUUCUACCAGAGGGCUCCUUUGGAAAGUUUGGAUAACAGCCCGUUAUGAAAGUCACCACACCAGGAGCGGUGGAAGAAGCCCCAGGGACUGGGUGAAUGACGGAGCCUCAGUUGUGAAACGACCAUUUAUUGAGGGGCCCUCCAUGGAGCCUAGAGCUCACUGCAAGACAGGAAAUGAGAGGGGGCUCUGCCACCACCCCCUUACCCCAACGCAGGAAAGAGGAUGCAAUGAAUCCCAACAAGACCAGCUCAAACUUGGCUUUGGAAGCACUGAAGCAAUUCUCUACGUUCAUAAACAGUCUGCUACCCCAGCCAGGGACAGACGCUUGCUUGGAGGACGAAGCACAAGCAGAGAAGCAGAAUGACAGAGUGACAGGAUGAGAGAGGCAGAGGGACCCAGAAAGAUCCUGUCCCCCAUGCCAAGUGACACAGAAGAAAAAAACAAUGCUG
Molecule: long non-coding RNA, 462 nt
Organism: Pan troglodytes (chimpanzee)
Lineage: Eukaryota; Metazoa; Chordata; Mammalia; Primates; Hominidae
Exons: 2
Source: RefSeq, a predicted model, not a curated record